GCCUGGGUGGCACAGCGGUUGAGCGUCUGCCUUCAGCUCAGGGCGUGAUCCCCGCGUUGUGGGAUCGAGCCCCACAUCAGGCU
Ailuropoda melanoleuca (giant panda) is the source of this 83-nucleotide non-coding RNA. The record is from Rfam. Lineage: Eukaryota; Metazoa; Chordata; Mammalia; Carnivora; Ursidae.